CCCCAAACCGACCAACCUCCCCCCGCAUGGGCCGAGCCCAUGGUGAGCUUCCCCGCUAACCCUCGCCAUGGGCGUUUUAUAAUAGGUUGCACCCAAUGUACUGCUUGGCCCGUUAGAUGGAUUCCGCCCGAAUACGUUUUUUUUCUUGAGUUCUGCGAUUUUCAUAUUAACUAGGGAAUUUAUAUUUUUAGAAAAUGUGCAUAUUUUAAAAUGCUAACAACUUUCUAACCAUGCAUCGGAUUAAAGAAAUAUAGAUAUGUGAAAUGUGUAUAUUUGUGUAGAUUAAUAAUUUCCAACUUUCGUGCAUAUUAAAAUUAUUUAAAUGUGUUGUUCAAUUAAAUUUGCAUUAGGUCAUGUUAAAAUGAUUUAAUUCAUAACUAAUUAUUCAUGGCUCCGAUUAAAAUGAUCCAUCUAUCUAUAUCUAUCUAUCUAUCUAUAUCUAUCUAUACUUAUACUAAUUUGAGACUCCCUAAAAAAUCCCACGUUAAUUAGAUUUUACGAGCCGUUAAUCUGAUGGGACCAAAUUAUUACGGUCGAGAUCGAUCAAUAUUUUUUUCUAAUCUAUUGUACGUAGUUUUUUCAAUUCUGCAAAAUAUUUUUCCCCACAAAAGGCUCACGUGCCUUCCUCAGUUUUCUAAUGAAGGACAUUGGACCUUCUACUGUUCACCCAAUCACAAAACCGUAAUUAACUGAUCGGAGGGUCAAUCCCACUCUUGACCCCUUUCCGCUUUCAAUCUACACGUCACAGUGCCGCCACCAACCUGGAAUUCAUCUCUCCUCAAUCCCCAAUCAAUCUCUCCUCAAUCCCCUUCUUCUCCAAUCUUUAAACCUCUUCUUACUCCAAGUUUCUGGAUACUUGAUGGCUGAUGUAUCAUCCCAGUUUGGACCUAUAUCCCUGGUAGUUUCAAGAAUGAGGCCACCAUCGAUUCUUGAGGUUGUGGAGUUGAGGAAUUACGUUGGAUUCGUGGCACCGCAGCUCACACUCCAAGCCCUACUCGAUUUGAAUUCGCAGAAAAUAUUCGCAGAUUUCAAGCGUUAAGGGUGCACAUGAGAGGAGUCACGACAAGUAUUGGCCAGCAGCAGUUGAUCAUGAGCUUCUGCAUGGUCUGGUCUUGCAGGAAUAUACGUCUAUAUCUUCAGAUGAGGCUGUUGUACGUAUUUAUCUCCACAUGAAGAAUUGAAGAUAAAGUUUCUCUCCUUUUUUAAAGGAUGUUAUUUUUGAAAUAGAUGCACUCAAAGUUAAUGGCUUUAAUGUGCAGGUUUGAUCUACCUACAUCCUUGAUGAGCAGUUUUGUGAGAACACUACAUGUAAAUCUCUUUGUGUCGGUAAUGGUGGAGAGUAGGUCAUGCUGCUAUCUUAUUGGCGUCAUACGUAUGUAUCUUCAGAUGAAUAAUUGAAGAUAAAGUUCUUCUCCUUCUUUUGUAAGGGAAGUUCUUUUCUUAAACAGAUGCAUGCAAAGUUAAUGGCAUGAAUGAGCAGGUUCAAUCUACAUACUCCUCGAUGAGCAGUUUAGUGAGAAAACUACAUGUGAAUCUCUUCCCGCCGGCCAUGGUGACAAAUAGGUGAUGCUGCUACCUUAAUGGCGUUCACGACUCUGGUCAUGUUGAUACUCCCUGUGGUGGCAGCGUGUAGAGGUGUAGACAUCCAAACAAGAUUAAUCAUCUCACCCAUAUACAUGGCCAACACAAGUGGCAGUGUGUGGAGGUGUAGACAUCCAAACAAAAUUAAUCGUCAUCCACAUACAUGGCCAACAGAUUGAUACCCAGGACAUUAAUCAUGUCAUUGGUCUUGACAGCGGCAACUUGCAGGUCUGAACAUGCACCCCCAAGCCAUGGUUCUCAGUGGUAGGUUUCCACUGACCUUGCAUAUCUUCAUUAUUGGCAUGAAUUUUUUACCUAAGCAACUACAGGAACGUCCUUCUUUCUCAUUUGCUAGAAUAAUUGUGGAAUGUAAUAAUAUUUGUGUAUAUGCCAAAUUUCUACCUCCUGAAAGCAACAUGGGCCGAUAUGGUGCGCGGAAUUAUAUGAUGCAUGCAGAAAAUAGAAUACAAGCAGAUAACAUGUAAUUUCAGACAAAUAUGUCACGUUUUAGAUGUCUCAAAUCCUUACAAAUCU
Molecule: long non-coding RNA, 2115 nt
Filed under: Hordeum vulgare
Lineage: Eukaryota; Viridiplantae; Streptophyta; Magnoliopsida; Poales; Poaceae
Description: long non-coding RNA (HVUL_LNC019757)
Source: RNAcentral